RNAcentral lists this ribosomal RNA (253 nucleotides) under uncultured bacterium. Its description in RNAcentral is "partial 16S ribosomal RNA". It matches the Rfam family "Bacterial small subunit ribosomal RNA", at positions 524 to 776 of the family's 1533-position model. The record is from RNAcentral.
UACAGAGGUGCCAAGCGUUAGGCGGAAUCACUGGGCUUAAAGCGCGCGUAGGCGGAUGUUUAAGUGUCUUGUGAAAUCCCACGGCUCAACCGUGGAACUGCUGGGCAUACUGGACAUCUCGAGGCACUCAGGGGCGAGCGGAACAAGUGGUGGAGCGGUGAAAUGCGUAGAUAUCACUUGGAACGCCAAUGGUGAAGACAGCUCGCUGGGGGUGUCCUGACGCUGAGGCGCGAAAGCUAGGGGAGCGAACGGG